Molecule: unclassified non-coding RNA, 224 nt
Filed under: Hevea brasiliensis (rubber tree)
Lineage: Eukaryota; Viridiplantae; Streptophyta; Magnoliopsida; Malpighiales; Euphorbiaceae
Source: RNAcentral
UAUCAUUCUCCGAUCCACUAUUACGGGCAAAAUUAUCCUCAUCCAUGUAUACAUUUCUCAUUCUUUUUGCUACCAUUAGAUCCUGUUCAGUUUCAGCAUCCGCAACCUUCAUUCCAACAUUCUGGUAAGGAAAGUUUUCUACGCCCCCAAUAUCUUCAAUUUCGUUGACAAAGGAUGCAGGAAACAUGUACUGGUUCUUGGAGGCAUUGAGGUCAUUGGCUAGA